GCGCGUAAAUUGCCCGAAUCCUGACACAGGGAGGUAGUGACCAGAAAUAACAAUACAGGGCCUUUUAGGUCUUGUAAUUGGAAUGAGUACAAUUUACAUCUCUUCACGAGGAUCAAUUGGAGGGCAGGUCUGGUGCCAGCAGCCGCGGUAAUUCCAGCUCCAAUAGCUUAUAUUAAAGUUGUUGCAGUUAAAACGCUCGUAGUCGAAUUUUGGGGCGGGCCGGCCGGUCUGCCGAUGGGUAUGCACUGGUUGGCGCGUCCUUCCUCCCGGAGACAGCGCCUACUCUUAACUGAGCGGGCGCGGAAGACGGGACGUUUACUUUGAAAAAAUCAGAGUGUUUCAAGCAGGCAGUCGCUCUUGCAUGGAUUAGCAUGGGAUAAUGAAAUAGGACUCUGGUGCUAUUUUGUUGGUUUCGAACACCGGAGUAAUGAUUAACAGGGACAGUCAGGGGCACUCGUAUUCC
RNAcentral lists this ribosomal RNA (463 nucleotides) under Isochrysidales sp. Its description in RNAcentral is "SSU rRNA". It matches the Rfam family "Eukaryotic small subunit ribosomal RNA", at positions 432 to 900 of the family's 1831-position model. Lineage: Eukaryota; Haptophyta; Isochrysidales. The record is from RNAcentral.